AUUGAACGCUGGCGGCAGGCCUAACACAUGCAAGUCGAACGAGUGGCGGACGGGUGAGUAAUGUCUGGGAAACUGCCUGAUGGCGGGGGAUAACUACUGGAAACGGUAGCUAAUACCGCAUACCAUCAGAUGUGCCCGGAUGGGAUUAGCGAGUGGGUGGGGUAAGGGCUCACCAAGGCCACGAUGCUUAGCUGGUCUGAGAGGAUGACAGGCCACACGGUAACUGAGACACGGUCCAGCCGCCUACGGGAGGCAGCAGUGGGGAAUAGUGCACAAUGGGAGAAAGGCUGAUAGAGCCAUGCCGCGUGGAUGAAGAAGGCCUUCGGGUUGUAAAGUAGUUUCAGCGGGGAGGCGUUACCCGCAGAAGAAGCACCGGCUAACUCCGUGCCAGCAGCCGCGGUAAUAC
Molecule: ribosomal RNA, 406 nt
Filed under: uncultured bacterium
Lineage: Bacteria
Description: partial 16S ribosomal RNA
Rfam family: Bacterial small subunit ribosomal RNA
Source: RNAcentral